RNAcentral lists this ribosomal RNA (429 nucleotides) under Chloroflexota bacterium. RNAcentral describes it as "Chloroflexi bacterium partial 16S ribosomal RNA". It matches the Rfam family "Bacterial small subunit ribosomal RNA", at positions 355 to 776 of the family's 1533-position model. The record is from RNAcentral. Lineage: Bacteria; Bacillati; Chloroflexota.
UGGGGAAUAUUGCACAAUGGGCGCAAGCCUGAUGCAGCCAUGCCGCGUGUAUGAAGAAGGCCUUCGGGUUGUAAAUUACUUUCAGCGGGGAGGAAGGGAGUAAAGUUAAUACCUUUGCUCAUUGACGUUACCCGCAGAAGAAGCACCGGCUAACUCCGUGCCAGCAGCCGCGGUAAUACGGAGGGUGCAAGCGUUAAUCGGAAUUACUGGGCGUAAAGCGCACGCAGGCGGUUUGUUAAGUCAGAUGUGAAAUCCCCGGGCUCAACCUGGGAACUGCAUCUGAUACUGGCAAGCUUGAGUCUCGUAGAGGGGGGUAGAAUUCCAGGUGUAGCGGUGAAAUGCGUAGAGAUCUGGAGGAAUACCGGUGGCGAAGGCGGCCCCCUGGACGAAGACUGACGCUCAGGUGCGAAAGCGUGGGGAGCAAACAGG